CCCUUAGAUGUCCGGGGCCGCACGCGCGCUACACUGAAGGAAUCAGCGUGGCUUUCUCCCUGACCCGAAAGGGUUGGGAAACCCGUUGAAUCUCCUUCGUUAUAGGGAUUGGGGCUUGAAAUUGUUCCCCAUGAACGAGGAAUUCCCAGUAAGCGCGAGUCAUAAGCUCGCGUUGAUUACGUCCCUGCCCUUUGUACACACCGCCCGUCGCACCUACCGAUUGAAUGACUCGGUGAAAUAUCGGGACCGUUGUCUGGUUUGAUUCAUUUCGAACUAGAUAGUGGGAACUUUCUUUAACCUAUUUAUUUAGAGGAAGGUGAAGUCGUAACA
This 330-nucleotide ribosomal RNA is filed under the name uncultured eukaryote. RNAcentral's name for it is "partial 18S ribosomal RNA". It matches the Rfam family "Eukaryotic small subunit ribosomal RNA", at positions 1470 to 1796 of the family's 1831-position model. The record is from RNAcentral.